UCAGGACGAACGCUGGCGGCGUGCUUAACACAUGCAAGUCGAACGAGGUAUAGCGAGUGGAAGCUUCGGUGGAAACAUGCUAUUACCGAGUGGCGGACGGGUGAGUAACGCGUGAGCAACCUACCCUGCAACGGGGGACAACAGUUGGAAACGACUGCUAAUACCGCAUAAGACCACGAAACCGCAUGGUUUAGAGGUAAAAGGAUUAAUUCGAUGCAGGAUGGGCUCGCGUCCCAUUAGAUAGUUGGUGAGGUAACGGCCCACCAAGUCAACGAUGGGUAGCCGACCUGAGAGGGUGAUCGGCCACACUGGAACUGAGACACGGUCCAGACUCCUACGGGAGGCAGCAGUGGGGAAUAUUGGGCAAUGGGCGAAAAAGCCUGACCCAGCAACGCCGCGUGAGGGAAGAAGGUCUUCGGAUUGUAAACCUUUGUCCUAUGGGACGAAACAAAUGACGGUACCAUAGGAGGAAGCUCCGGCUAACUACGUGCCAGCCGCCGC
RNAcentral lists this ribosomal RNA (501 nucleotides) under uncultured bacterium. RNAcentral's name for it is "bacterial SSU rRNA". It matches the Rfam family "Bacterial small subunit ribosomal RNA", at positions 24 to 518 of the family's 1533-position model. The record is from RNAcentral.